This is an unclassified non-coding RNA of Ursus americanus (American black bear), 305 nucleotides long. Its record names the gene 7SK. It matches the Rfam family "7SK RNA". From Rfam's summary of the family: 7SK was discovered as an abundant small nuclear RNA in the mid-70s but a possible function has only recently been suggested. Two independent studies have found that 7SK RNA binds the CDK9/cyclin T complex (known as elongation factor P-TEFb). NCBI's taxonomy places the organism in Eukaryota, Metazoa, Chordata, Mammalia, Carnivora, Ursidae. The record is from Ensembl.
GGAUAUGAGGGCGAUCUGGCUACGACAUCUGUCACUCCACUGAUCGCCAGGGUUGAUUCGGCUGAUCUGGCUGGCUAGGCGGGUGUCCCCUUCCUCCCUCACCACUCCAUGUGCGUCCCUCCUGAAGCCGUGCGCUUGUUCAAAGAGGACAACCUUCCCCGGUAGAGGAGGACAAUUCUUUGGUCAAGGGUAUACGAGUAGCUACACUCCCCUUCUAGAACCUCCGAACAAGCCCUCAAGGUCCAUUUGUAGGAGAAAGUAGGGCAGUCAAGCUUCCAAGACUCCAGACACAUCCCAAUGAAUUG